GACGAACGCUGGCGGCGUGCUUAACACAUGCAAGUCGAACGGAAAGGCCCUGCUUUUGUGGGGUGCUCGAGUGGCGAACGGGUGAGUAACACGUGAGUAACCUGCCCUUGACUUUGGGAUAACUUCAGGAAACUGGGGCUAAUACCGGAUAGGAGCUCCUGCUGCAUGGUGGGGGUUGGAAAGUUUCGGCGGUUGGGGAUGGACUCGCGGGUUAUCAGCUUGUUGGUGGGGUAGUGGCUUACCAAGGCUUUGACGGGUAGCCGGCCUGAGAGGGUGACCGGCCACAUUGGGACUGAGAGACGGCCCAGACGCCUACGGGAGGCAGCAGUGGGGAAUAUGGCACAAUGGGCGGAAGCCUGAUGCAGCAACGCCGCGUGCGUGAUGACGGCCUUCGGGUUGUAAACCGCUUUCGCCUGUGACGAAGCGUGAGUGACGGUAAUGGGUAAAGAAGCACCGGCUAACUACGUG
This 468-nucleotide ribosomal RNA is filed under the name uncultured bacterium. RNAcentral describes it as "partial 16S ribosomal RNA". It matches the Rfam family "Bacterial small subunit ribosomal RNA", at positions 28 to 507 of the family's 1533-position model. The record is from RNAcentral.